Xenia sp. Carnegie-2017 is the source of this 540-nucleotide long non-coding RNA. RefSeq lists it as uncharacterized. Lineage: Eukaryota; Metazoa; Cnidaria; Anthozoa; Malacalcyonacea; Xeniidae. The record is from RefSeq and is a predicted model, not a curated record. The transcript has 2 exons.
AUCGUCCUCACCAUUGAGCUCUACAGUUGCUAUGACGAUGUGUAAUGACGUCAUUCGUAAAUCAAAAUGGCAGAUUGAUGGAGAAAAGUUUGUUUUUUACACGUUUAGUGUGAUUAACUGACUAUGGAAGAGAAAAUAAGCAAAAAAAAAGUCAGUGAAAAUGACCUUAGACAAGUAGGAAAGGACUAUAUUGACCAUAUCCAAGCAUCUUUGCUACAAUCUUCGGAAAAUCUCAAAAGUUGCGCCAACGCCACUGUUAUUGAAGAUCCUUACAUAAAGGCUUACAGAUAUCUACAAAAUAAUCAGAUUUUAUCAUUGCUUGAGUAGGACUUGAUCACAUAUACUGCGUUUGAACGACCUAGUGAUCCAUUUUCAUUCAUGGCUAAACUAGUUGAAGACUUCUAUGAGGAUCAAAGAAAAACUUGAAAAUGACUAUAGAUAAAUCGCCCGAUCAUUGUAAAGAUAAUUAAGAGUUUAUUAUUCAUAGGGUAUAAUUCAAAUCAAAACUUCAUUUUUGUUCAAUAUAUUUACUUCUUCUCA